This is a long non-coding RNA of Drosophila sulfurigaster albostrigata, 731 nucleotides long. RefSeq lists it as uncharacterized. The record is from RefSeq and is a predicted model, not a curated record. The transcript has 3 exons. NCBI's taxonomy places the organism in Eukaryota, Metazoa, Arthropoda, Insecta, Diptera, Drosophilidae.
CAGCUGCCAGUUAGAAAUUUGUAUUUCUUUGCAAAUUUCUAAAUUCUUUUUAUUUAUUUAUAUCAUUUAUAUACAUUCCUUGCUGACUUGCUUGUUUAUUCGACAAACACUCGAGUUUUGUUUGCAAAAUUAAUGUGAAUAACUGCAAAAAAUAAGUUAUUAUUGGAUCGGAUGCACCAAAAGAGCAACUGCUGACACAUCCGAACACAUGCUGACAAAUGCUCGGCAUGCACGACUGCAACAUACCCUAUAUAACAGCAAAAUCGAAGUGCUUUCAUGAACAACAUCAAGAGGGUAUUUAAAGGCGGAUUUCAGCAUUGCAUUGCGACUUAAUAAACGGAAGUGUAACCAUAUCAACGACAGCAACAGCAACAACAAUAACAACAACAACAACGCGAAGCAUUCUUAUUAGUCCAUCGAUAAUACACGAAGGAUAUUUAAUUAUUAAUUGAAAAUUAUGCAGACCAAUGCGCUUUUAACCAGUCGAAAAAGGUUGCCAUUAAAAUUACAGAGACAGAUAUAUAUAACAUACAAUACAUAUAUAUAACUUGAUAUCUGGCAUGCGGUUGCAGAGCAGUUGCUCUGUGUAUGUAUGAAAUUAUUGUGAAUUUUAAUAAAAUUGCCGAGUGCGCUCUGAAAUUGACAGCCGCAUAAUUUGCCUUUUUGUGGUCUCAGAUGAGAGUUGAUGCCGCCGUUGUCGCUGCAGUAACUUUAAAUGAUUAAUUGUUAAU